AAGAGAGAGAAUUUAGAACCUCAUUAAUGUUUCUUAAAUUUCUUAAUUAUAUUUUUCUCUUUCUCCAAGAAACCUCCAGUGUGAUAAGGUAACCAAAAUUAUAAUCAUUAUAAUUUUUUGUUGUAAAUAUGUUCAUUAACUAAUGCUGCUUAUCAUCUGCAACUUGUUCUUGCAAUGUGUGGGCUUGUUAAUCACUGUUGUGUUUUUAGUGCUUUCACUGUGUUUUAACUCACUCUGGUGGUAGAUGACUGGCAUUCGUUUUCUGGCACCAAGGAAAGUUGUGGUUUUCUGAGGAAUGCUACAUAAAAGACUAGCCAAAAUGACACGCCCUGUACAUUUCAGUGGUGGGGGUAUUUUCUCUUGUGGCAUACGUGCAAAUUUUACAGUGAGGUAUCACAGUGUGCCAGAAAUUGUGCAUGGAGCGAAGUUGUUGUCCUUGGUAACACAUUCACUAUUAGAAAAAUAGCAAAUAUCUCACCAUGGCAUAUUUGUGCACUGCGGUGUGGCAAAAGAGAAGGGUGGAAUAUACACAGGAACUUGCAAGGGUUUCUUUUUUAAAAAUGCAUUUUAUAAAUGCAUCUGACUGAGGAUGCAAUUCACCCAAGGCUGCAAUUGUAACCGUAUCGGCCUUCUUCUUUGCUGAAUUAGUCUUUAAAGGGCAGGUAAGCUUCUCCCUUUUAAACUAGAUAGUUAGGGAAUAGCAGUUCAUUUUAAAUAGCUAUUUCAAUUUCUUAAAUAGCUAAGGGGAUACUUUUUGUGGAUAAAUAUCUGUAUCUCAAAUGCCAUUUAAGAAAAUACAUGAUUUGGAUGUUGGCUUGAAAUUGCAUUGAAGGAAAGAAACUCUGUCUUACCCAAGUUUCCUGUGUAUUGGUUGCAGCAUUAUAAAGAAAAAUCAAGACAGAAAAAAGAGAAACUCAACUAAGUGAAAACAAAACUGGAAAAAAAAACACUUCUGGAUUGACACGCAAGAGAAUAUAAAAUAAGCAAGCAGCAAACCCACUGUUGUAGCAAGUCCUGUAAAGAGGGACAUUUGUAUCCCUGCUAAAAAAAAUUUAAGGAAUGAGCUUCCAAUCUGAAUAGGUCAAGAAAUGGGACAGCAUGAAUGUCAUUUAUUAAAUUCCUACAAUGAAUUCACAGUUUGUACCAAUGCUCACAAUUAACCCUUAAAUCUGGGUUUAGGGGCUGUUGGCUUUCUGCAAUAAGUUCUUGGAAAAAAAAGUUUUACUGUACUGUACACAUAUUAAUUCCCCUUUUCCUCUCACAUACUUUGGCUAAGUCAGCAUUAAAGAUGCAAAUCUAUGGUUUGCUGUGAGGGUCUGCAUCUUAAGCAUUCACUAACGAUGCCAAGGAUAUUAGAUGAAGUUCAACACCUCACUCUUAUUCUGAGGCGAAACCGCACGUAAUGCUGGACUUCUCAAACUGUAAGUCAGCACUACUUUGGGGUCAUCGGCAACUCAGAAAGAGAAUCACCAUUUUU
Non-coding RNA from Notechis scutatus (mainland tiger snake), 1477 nucleotides. Lineage: Eukaryota; Metazoa; Chordata; Lepidosauria; Squamata; Elapidae. The record is from RefSeq and is a predicted model, not a curated record.